Molecule: ribosomal RNA, 301 nt
Filed under: uncultured bacterium
Lineage: Bacteria
Description: partial 16S ribosomal RNA
Rfam family: Bacterial small subunit ribosomal RNA
Source: RNAcentral
CAGCGCCGCGGUAAUACGUAGGUGGCAAGCGUUGUCCGGAAUUAUUGGGCGUAAAGGGCUCGCAGGCGGUUUCUUAAGUCUGAUGUGAAAGCCCCCGGCUCAACCGGGGAGGGUCAUUGGAAACUGGGAAACUUGAGUGCAGAAGAGGAGAGUGGAAUUCCACGUGUAGCGGUGAAAUGCGUAGAGAUGUGGAGGAACACCAGUGGCGAAGGCGACUCUCUGGUCUGUAACUGACGCUGAGGAGCGAAAGCGUGGGGAGCGAACAGGAUUAGAUACCCGAGUAGUCCCUGUCUCUUAUACA